GACGAACGCUGGCGGCGUGCUUAACACAUGCAAGUCGAACGGAAAGGCCCUGCUUUGGUGGGGUGCUCGAGGGGCGAACGGGUGAGUAACACGUGAGUAACCUGCCCUUGACUUUGGGAUAACUUCAGGAAACUGGGGCUAAUAGCGGAAAGGAGCUCCUGCUGCAUGGUGGGGGUUGGAAAGUUUCGGCGGUUGGGGAUGGACUCGCCGCUCAUCAGCUUGUUGGUGGGGUAGUGGCUUACCAAGGCUUUGAAGGGUAGCCGGCCUGAGAGGGUGACCGGCCACAUUGGGACUGAGCUACGGCACAGCCUACUACGCGAGGCAGCAGUGGGGAAUAUUGCACAAUGGGCGGAAGCCUGAUGCAGCACCGCAGCGUGCGGGAUGACGGCCUUCGGGUUGUAAUCCGCUUUCCCCUGUCACGAAGCGUGAGUGACGGUAAUGGGUAAAGAAGCACCGGCUAACUCCGUG
RNAcentral lists this ribosomal RNA (468 nucleotides) under uncultured bacterium. RNAcentral describes it as "partial 16S ribosomal RNA". It matches the Rfam family "Bacterial small subunit ribosomal RNA", at positions 28 to 507 of the family's 1533-position model. The record is from RNAcentral.